AAAGGAAUAGACGGGGGCCCGCACAAGCGGUGGAGCAUGUGGAUUAAUUCGACGCAACGCGAAGAACCUUACCAAGGCUUGACAUCCCCCUGCAAAGUUUAGAAAUAAGCUCCUCCUUCGGGACAGGGGAGACAGGUGGUGCAUGGUUGUCGUCAGCUCGUGUCGUGAGAUGUUGGGUUAAGUCCCGCAACGAGCGCAACCCCUAUUUUUAGUAGCCAACGGAUAACGCCGGGCCACACUAGAGAUACUGCCGCUGUAAGGCGGAGGAAGGCGGGGAUGAGGUCAAAUCAUCAUGCCCCUUAUGUCUUGGGCAUCACACGUGCUACAAUGGCCCGAACAAAGUGAAGCAAGGCAGCAAUGCGGAGCAAAACACAAAAACGGGUCUCAGUUCGGAUUGCAGGCUGCAACCCGCCUGCAUGAAGUUGGAAUCGCUAGUAAUCGCGAAUCAGCAUGUCGCGGUGAAUACGUUCCCGGGCCUUGUACACACCGCCCGU
Molecule: ribosomal RNA, 494 nt
Filed under: uncultured bacterium
Lineage: Bacteria
Description: bacterial SSU rRNA
Rfam family: Bacterial small subunit ribosomal RNA
Source: RNAcentral